This 465-nucleotide ribosomal RNA is filed under the name uncultured bacterium. RNAcentral describes it as "partial 16S ribosomal RNA". It matches the Rfam family "Bacterial small subunit ribosomal RNA", at positions 338 to 795 of the family's 1533-position model. The record is from RNAcentral.
CCUACGGGGGGCAGCAGUGGGGAAUAUUGCGCAAUGGGCGAAAGCCUGACGCAGCGACGCCGCGUGAGGGAUGAAGGUCUUCGGAUCAUAAACCUCUGUCAGCAGGGAAGAACGGUCACUGUGCUAAUCAGCAGUGAAUUGACGGUACCUGCACAGGAAGCACCGGCUAACUCCGUGCCAGCAGCCGCGGUAAUACGGAGGGGGCGAGCGUUAAGCGGAAUUACUGGGCGUAAAGCGCUCGUAGGCGGUAUGGCAAGUCAAGGGUGAAAUCCCCGCGCUCAACGUGGGAACUGCCUUUGAAACUGGCAGACUGGAGUGUGUGAGAGGAUAGUGGAAUUCCAGGUGUAGGAGUGAAAUCCGUAGAUAUCUGGAGGAACAUCAGUGGCGAAGGCGACUAUCUGGCACAUAACUGACGCUGAGGAGCGAAAGCGUGGGUAGCAAACAGGAUUAGAUACCCCUGUAGUC